RNAcentral lists this unclassified non-coding RNA (336 nucleotides) under Hevea brasiliensis (rubber tree). Lineage: Eukaryota; Viridiplantae; Streptophyta; Magnoliopsida; Malpighiales; Euphorbiaceae. The record is from RNAcentral.
AGGACCCGUUGAAUAUUGUUGACGGGAAGAUGCAAUACCUGUUUGACGAGGACGGUCGCCGCUAUCUUGAUGCUUUUGGUGGGAUUGCUACUGUUUGUUGUGGUCAUUGCCACCCUGAAGUUAUUGAAGCCAUAAUUAAACAAACAAAGCGUCUGCAACAUUCUACAGUUGUAUAUCUAAAUCAUGCGAUUGCAGAUUUUGCCGAGGCAUUAGCCUCCAAGAUGCCUGGUGAUAUCAAGGUUGUGUUCUUCACAAAUUCUGGUACUGAAGCAAAUGAGCUGGCCAUCAUGAUUGCUAAGCUUUAUACUGGUUGUCAUGAUAUUAUAUCAAUCCGAA